This 601-nucleotide long non-coding RNA is filed under the name Anser brachyrhynchus (Pink-footed goose). Its description in RNAcentral is "lncRNA (ENSABRG00000005160.1)". The record is from RNAcentral. Lineage: Eukaryota; Metazoa; Chordata; Aves; Anseriformes; Anatidae.
UUCCCUUUUAAAACAGUCAAGAGAUGUUGUCACAUUUUCUAUUAAUAUUCUCAUUCUCUAUUGUUACAUAUUCUAUUAAUAUUCUCUCAUUUUCUAUUAAUUUGUUUAGUAAUUCCCUACUCAGCAUACGCCUGUUAAGGAACCUCUUUAUAGGGUGUGAAACAUUCCAUUUUUUCCUCCUCUAGUCCAGGAAAACUAAGCACAACCUGAAGCCAUGAAUUUCGUUCUGGAGCAGAAUGCAUCCACAAGCAGAUGUCAAUACUGUUCUGCCUAAAUCCUGUUGUGGAAUUUGGUCUGAAAGCAUUUCUGAUCAUCAGAAAAUGGUGUUGUACUUUAGAAGAAAUGACUGUAUAUGGGGUGCUAGGUUGGUUACAUGACCCAUUCAACCCAGCCAGUAUUAUUCUGGAUAUUCCCUUUUUGCCUGUAGGAAGCCCUCAUCCUGCCUUCUCUAGCCAAAGAGGACUCGUGGAGAACUUUCAUGAGAUGUUCACCUAGAAAAAGCAGGGUGAGGUUCCUCCUGGUCGCCGCUGCUUCCUGGAAACACAAACUGGGAGAAAAGGUUGAAGAACAGGAGAAAGCAGCAGAGAGGACAAAAUAAAAA